This 209-nucleotide ribosomal RNA is filed under the name uncultured bacterium. RNAcentral describes it as "partial 16S ribosomal RNA". It matches the Rfam family "Bacterial small subunit ribosomal RNA", at positions 1284 to 1500 of the family's 1533-position model. The record is from RNAcentral.
AGUCUCAGUUCGGAUCGGAGUCUGCAACCCGACUCCGUGAAGCUGGAUUCGCUAGUAAUCGCGCAUCAGCCAUGGCGCGGUGAAUACGUUCCCGGGCCUUGUACACACCGCCCGUCAAGCCAUGGGAGCCGGGAGUGCCUGAAGUCCGUGACCGCGAGGAGCGGCCUAGGGUAAGACCGGUGACUGGGGCUAAGUCGUAACAAGGUAGC